RNAcentral lists this long non-coding RNA (504 nucleotides) under Glycine max (soybean). Its description in RNAcentral is "long non-coding RNA (GMAX_LNC003336)". The record is from RNAcentral. Lineage: Eukaryota; Viridiplantae; Streptophyta; Magnoliopsida; Fabales; Fabaceae.
GACGCUUAAUAAUCUUUAUUUCAAAGUAAAAUAUAAAAACAAAAUAAUUCAGACACCGGCAGAAAAACUAAAUAACAUAUGCAGGCCAUACGGUGGGCUCUUUUGGUUGGGCUACCCAAAAAUCACUUUCCUUGGAAUCCAGUAUAGACAAUACUUUGCGGGCUGUUGCUUCUUGCAUGAAAAAUUUACUUCAUGCACCAAUUUUGGGCAAUUGCUUCCUGCACCCCAUAGUAAUAUGAACAAGCAAAAAUGCCCCUACGCUCAAAACCCUAGCAACUCCUCUUCCUUCUCUCCCCUUGUGCCGCCAAGCACCCUGCUACCACCGCGAUUGAAGGUUGAGGAGGACAUUAUGCGAAAUGGGGAGACAUUGUGUGGAUUUCUCUGGCAAAGCCGUUUUCUUCAGCAUGAACAGUGACAUCGAGGUUGAAGAGCGCAUUGUAUAAGAAUUAGGUCAUUUUUAUUUUAUGUGCAAUACAACCUUUCUUCCAUGAGAAUUAGAUAGCU